Long non-coding RNA from Oncorhynchus nerka (sockeye salmon), 1631 nucleotides. RefSeq lists it as uncharacterized. The record is from RefSeq and is a predicted model, not a curated record. Lineage: Eukaryota; Metazoa; Chordata; Actinopteri; Salmoniformes; Salmonidae. The transcript is spliced from 2 exons.
UCUCUCUCUCUCUCUCUCUCUCUCUCUCUCUCUCUGUCUCUCUCUCUCUCUCUCUCUCUGUCUCUCUCUCUCUCUAUCUCUCUCUCUCUCUCUCUCUCAGCUUUGAUGUCAGCUGGAUGCUGUACCACCAACUGUAGAAAUGUGAAAAUAUGGGACAGCUUCGAUGCCUCUUCUUGACCACACUGCACCCCAGCUGGGACGUUUGGGGUGAGACGUACCUCCUCAACGGUGGGAUAAGGAGUGUCCAACACUCCUGCUGCCCUGGCCCAAACAGACACUAGGACAACUGGACACUCCUCUCCAAGAUCCUGAUGUUCUGUCCCAUCCGUCCUCACAUACUACUAUGUUUUCAUUUCUACAUAUCUAGAGUUCGGGACAAUUUGGGGGAAAAUUUGGGAAUGCUAUUAGGACAGAUGGAUGGCAUUCCCAAAGACUGCCACAGCUAAAUGGAUGAGAGCUAGACUGGAUACCGCAUAUGAGCUCCCUGUCAACCACCAUGGCAUGACCUACCCCCCAGAGAGGGAAAGAUGCAGGGGAAGAAGUGAAAAGGAGAGAAGAAGAGGACCACUCCUCUCUGUUUACAGAUUAAUCUCAUCAGUCUGGGGUCCACUAUCUCUCUCUCUCGUUCUCUCUCUUUAUCUAUUUUUAUCUCUCUUUCUCUUGCUCUCUCCUCUUCCUCCCUCUGCCUCUACCCUUUCUCUCUUAAUCUCUCUCAAUCUCUAUCUCUUAUUAUCUCUCUCUUAUUAUCUCUUUAUCUCUCUCUCUCUCUCUCUCUCUCUCUCUCUCUCUCCGUUCCUCUUUCUGCCUCAGCCUCUCCCCUCUCUCUUAAUCUCUAUAUCUUCCCCUUCACUUCCACUUUCUUCUUCUCUUUCCUCUCUCCCCUGCUAUCUCGCUCUCUCCCACCACCCCCUUUCUCCUUCCAUCCCUCCCUCUCCCCCUCUCCCUCCCUCCCCCUCCUUCCCACCCUACCUCCAGCAGCCUCCACAGAUAUUCAUCAUCUUCUUCUGUGUACUGAGACAGUAGUAAUCUAAUGUUCCUCCCCUCGUCUGCAGCCACAAAUCUAGAUGAUAAGAUUAUCCUAUCCUCUCCCAGUCAUCAUCUCAAACUUUUGUUGACCAAUUUCAUUAAACAGAGUGAAAAAGCUGAAGUUUGUGUUAAAGGGAAAGUUCAGCGGAAUUGCAUAUUUAGAUAUUUGUUUCCUCACCUUGAAAACAGUUUCUCAAAUAUCUAAUUUUGCUGAACUAUCCCUUUUUUAGAAGUUCCUAGGCAAUUUACCCUCCACCACCAACAUGCUGUGUCUUAUUACAAAACUACAAAAUGGCCGCCAAUGUUAGCUUGUUGGGUAACGUUGUAGUUCUAACCAGAUACAGUGUUACGGUGUUAGCCUAGUUUUCUUUUUUGUAAAAUCUUGCUCCCUUCCGAGCACCUAUAUUUCCAGCUAGGGAGGUGAGUAUACAUUCUCCAUGUUGUUUUAUACAAGAAAGGUAAAGUCAAAGUACAUAGUAGUUUAUUGGGAUUAGUUUUCUAUAUAUAUAUAUUAUAUAUAAUGAUUAUUAUUUUUGACUGGUAUUAGAACAAUUAUAUGAAGAUAUCUAUGUAUACAAAAUAAUAAAGAUUCUUCUUUAUGUAAA